UACGGAGGAUCCGAGCGUUAUCCGGAUUUAUUGGGUUUAAAGGGUGCGCAGGCGGGAGAUUAAGUCGGCGGUGAAAUUUUGAAGCUCAACUGUAAAAGUGCCUUCGAAACUGGUUUCCUUGAGUGUAGAUGAAGUAGGCGGAAUUUGUGGUGUAGCGGUGAAAUGCAUAGAUAUCACGAGGAACUCCGAUUGCGAAGGCAGCUUACUAAGCUACUACUGACGCUCAGGCACGAAGGCGUGGGGAUCAAACAGGAUUAGAUACCCCCGUAGUCCCU
Molecule: ribosomal RNA, 275 nt
Filed under: uncultured prokaryote
Description: partial 16S ribosomal RNA
Rfam family: Bacterial small subunit ribosomal RNA
Source: RNAcentral